GAUCUGUGCUAGAUGGUCUAUCCGUAUGGGUACGUACUGUUUUAGCCGGGUCUUUCCUUCUGGAGAGCUAUGGUGGUCUUUAUUGGCUGCCAUAGGGAUCCAGGACUUUUACUUUGAAAAAAUUAGAGUGUUCAAAGCAAGCUAUCGCUUGAAUACAUUAGCAUGGAAUAAUAGAAUAGGACUCUGGUUCUAUUUUGUUGGUUUUUAGGACCAAGGUA
This 218-nucleotide ribosomal RNA is filed under the name uncultured fungus. RNAcentral describes it as "partial small subunit ribosomal RNA". The stretch from base 51 to 218 matches the Rfam family "Eukaryotic small subunit ribosomal RNA", at positions 694 to 864 of the family's 1831-position model. The record is from RNAcentral. Lineage: Eukaryota; Fungi.